UGACAGUGCCAAGCCAGUGACCAUGUGGCCACCAUGAUCCACACGCCACCGUCAUCAUGAGCAAUUGAGGUUUCUUCCUCCUCAAUGACAUUCACCCCACCUUUUGCUUGCACUCUCUUCCCCAGCAGACAAGGCAAUUAGGCAAAGGCAAGCACUUUCCACCUCACCUGCUUUUCUCCCUCUACCCCUUUCUCUCUCUCUUCUUGAGCUGAUCUUGAUCCAUUGCUGGAUGCUCAUGCACAGGAAGCUUGCUCAAGGUUGGAGUGAGGGCAGAUGGGGGAAGUUGCAGUGCAUUGCCAAUUGCCAAAGCUGCACCAAGAUUGGUUGAUUGAUUCUUGCCAUUAGGAAAGGCAGAUUAGAGAGAGAGAAAGAAGAGGAAGAAAGGGUGGGAGACAGGUGGACAAAAAGGGUAAAGAGUGAGGAGGAGUAAAGGUGGUGGAUAGAGAGAGAGAGAGAAGAGAGUGAGGGAAUCCAGCCCAGUCUUGAUCGAUCGAUCGAUCCGUGUGCGUUGCGUCGUCCCAGAUUGGGAGCAGGAGUGUGCACGAAGCAAAGCGGCAGGGAGGGGGAGGCCGCCGCGCCACCGACACCGAGAUUUUUCCUACACCGCCGG
Molecule: long non-coding RNA, 610 nt
Filed under: Oryza brachyantha (malo sina)
Lineage: Eukaryota; Viridiplantae; Streptophyta; Magnoliopsida; Poales; Poaceae
Description: long non-coding RNA (OBRA_LNC002574)
Source: RNAcentral